RNAcentral lists this ribosomal RNA (445 nucleotides) under uncultured bacterium. Its description in RNAcentral is "bacterial SSU rRNA". It matches the Rfam family "Bacterial small subunit ribosomal RNA", at positions 330 to 792 of the family's 1533-position model. The record is from RNAcentral.
GCCAGACUCCUACGGGAGGCAGCAGUGGGGAAUAUUGCACAAUGGGGGAAACCCUGAUGCAGCGACGCCGCGUGAGCGAUGAAGUAUUUCGGUAUGUAAAGCUCUAUCAGCAGGGAAGAAGAUGACGGUACCUGACUAAGAAGCCCCGGCUAACUACGUGCCAGCAGCCGCGGUAAUACGUAGGGGGCAAGCGUUAUCCGGAUUUACUGGGUGUAAAGGGAGCGUAGACGGCGAUGCAAGCCAGAUGUGAAAGCCCGGGGCUCAACCCCGGGACUGCUCUUGGAACUGCGUGGCUGGAGUGCAGGAGGGGCAGGCGGAAUUCCUGGUGUAGCGGUGAAAUGCGUAGAUAUCAGGAGGAACACCGGUGGCGAAGGCGGCCUGCUGGACUGCAACUGACGUUGAGGCCCGAAAGCGUGGGGAGCAAACAGGAUUAGAUACCCGCGUA